UUGUCCGGAUUUACUGGGUGUAAAGGGCGUGCAGCCGGGAAUGCAAGUCAGAUGUGAAAUCCAUGGGCUUAACCCAUGAACUGCAUUUGAAACUGUAUUUCUUGAGUACUGGAGAGGCAAUCGGAAUUCCUAGUGUAGCGGUGAAAUGCGUAGAUAUUAGGAGGAACACCAGUGGCGAAGGCGGAUUGCUGGACAGCAACUGACGGUGAGGCGCGAAAGUGUGGGGAGCAAACAGGAUUAGAUACCCUGGUAGUCCACACUGUAAACGAUGAAUACUAGGUGUGCGGGGACUGACCCCCUGCGUGCCGCAGUUAACACAAUAAGUAUUCCACCUGGGGAGUACGAUCGCAAGGUUGAAACUCAAAGGAAUUGACGGGGGCCCGCACAAGCGGUGGAUUAUGUGGUUUAAUUCGAAGCAACGCGAAGAA
Molecule: ribosomal RNA, 428 nt
Filed under: uncultured bacterium
Lineage: Bacteria
Description: bacterial SSU rRNA
Rfam family: Bacterial small subunit ribosomal RNA
Source: RNAcentral